RNAcentral lists this ribosomal RNA (819 nucleotides) under uncultured bacterium. RNAcentral describes it as "bacterial SSU rRNA". It matches the Rfam family "Bacterial small subunit ribosomal RNA", at positions 96 to 953 of the family's 1533-position model. The record is from RNAcentral.
UGGCAGACGGGUGAGUAACGCGUGGGAACGUACCUUUUGGUUCGGAACAACACAGGGAAACUUGUGCUAAUACCGGAUAAGCCCUUACGGGGAAAGAUUUAUCGCCGAAAGAUCGGCCCGCGUCUGAUUAGCUAGUUGGUGAGGUAACGGCUCACCAAGGCGACGAUCAGUAGCUGGUCUGAGAGGAUGAUCAGCCACAUUGGGACUGAGACACGGCCCAAACUCCUACGGGAGGCAGCAGUGGGGAAUAUUGGACAAUGGGGGCAACCCUGAUCUAGCCAUGCCGCGUGAGUGAUGAAGGCCCUAGGGUUGUAAAGCUCUUUUGUGCGGGAAGAUAAUGACGGUACCGCAAGAAUAAGCCCCGGCUAACUUCGUGCCAGCAGCCGCGGUAAUACGAAGGGGGCUAGCGUUGCUCGGAAUCACUGGGCGUAAAGGGUGCGUAGGCGGGUCUUUAAGUCAGAGGUGAAAGCCUGGAGCUCAACUCCAGAACUGCCUUUGAUACUGAGGAUCUUGAGUUCGGGAGAGGUGAGUGGAACUGCGAGUGUAGAGGUGAAAUUCGUAGAUAUUCGCAAGAACACCAGUGGCGAAGGCGGCUCACUGGCCCGAUACUGACGCUGAGGCACGAAAGCGUGGGGAGCAAACAGGAUUAGAUACCCUGGUAGUCCACGCCGUAACGAUGAAUGCCAGCCGUUGGGAAGUUUACUUUUCAGUGGCGCAGUUAACGCUUUAAGCAUUCCGCCUGGGGAGUACGGUCGCAAGAUUAAAACUCAAGGAAUUGACGGGGGCCCGCACAAGCGGUGGAGCAUGUGGUUUAAUUCG